This 354-nucleotide unclassified non-coding RNA is filed under the name soil metagenome. RNAcentral describes it as "partial contains 5.8S ribosomal RNA, internal transcribed spacer 2, and large subunit ribosomal RNA". The stretch from base 1 to 120 matches the Rfam family "5.8S ribosomal RNA", at positions 35 to 154 of the family's 154-position model. The record is from RNAcentral.
GAUGAAGAACGCAGCGAAAUGCGAUAAGUAAUGUGAAUUGCAGAAUUCCGUGAAUCAUCGAAUCUUUGAACGCACAUUGCGCCCCCUGGCAUUCCGGGGGGCAUGCCUGUCCGAGCGUCAUUUCUGCCCUCCAGCCCGGCUGGGUGUUGGGCGCUGUCCCCCCGGGGACACGCCCCAAAGGCAGUGGCGGCGCCGCGUCGGGUCCUCGAGCGUAUGGGGCUUUGUCACCCGCUCGGGACGGACUCGUCGGCGCUGGUCUUCCUCCAGGCGACCCUUCGGGGCUCGUCUUCCUUCGGUUGACCUCGGAUCAGGUAGGGUUACCCGCUGAACUUAAGCAUAUCAAUAAGCGUAGGA